This 460-nucleotide ribosomal RNA is filed under the name uncultured bacterium. RNAcentral describes it as "partial 16S ribosomal RNA". It matches the Rfam family "Bacterial small subunit ribosomal RNA", at positions 338 to 795 of the family's 1533-position model. The record is from RNAcentral.
CCUACGGGAGGCAGCAGUGAGGAAUAUUGGUCAAUGGACGAGAGUCUGAACCAGCCAAGUAGCGUGAAGGAUGACUGCCCUCUGGGUUGUAAACUUCUUUUAUAAAGGAAUAAAACGAGGCACGUGUGCCUGUUUGCAUGUACUUUAUGAAUAAGGCUCGGCUAACUCCGUGCCAGCAGCCGCGGUAAUACGGAGGAUCCGAGCGUUAUCCGGAUUUAUUGGGUUUAAAGGGAGCGUAGAUGGGUUGUUAAGUCAGUUGUGAAAGUUUGCGGCUCAACCGUAAAAUUGCAAUUGAUACUGGCAGUCUUGAGUACAGUUGAGGUAGGCGGAAUUCGUGGUGUAGCGGUGAAAUGCUUAGAUAUCACGAAGAACCCCGAUUGCGAAGGCAGCUUACUAAACUGUGACUGACAUUGAUGCUCGAAAGUGUGGGUAUCAAACAGGAUUAGAUACCCGAGUAGUC